Molecule: ribosomal RNA, 492 nt
Filed under: uncultured bacterium
Lineage: Bacteria
Description: partial 16S ribosomal RNA
Rfam family: Bacterial small subunit ribosomal RNA
Source: RNAcentral
AGUGAACGCUGGCGGUAGGCCUAACACAUGCAAGUCGAACGGCAGCACAGUAAGAGCUUGCUCUUACGGGUGGCGAGUGGCGGACGGGUGAGGAAUACAUCGGAAUCUACUUUUUCGUGGGGGGUAACGUAGGGAAACUUACGCUAAUACCGCAUACGACCUACGGGUGAAAGCAGGGGAUCUUCGGACCUUGCGCGAUUGAAUGAGCCGAUGUCGGAUUAGCUAGUUGGCGGGGUAAAGGCCCACCAAGGCGACGAUCCGUAGCUGGUCUGAGAGGAUGAUCAGCCACACUGGAACUGAGACACGGUCCAGACUCCUACGGGAGGCAGCAGUGGGGAAUAUUGGACAAUGGGCGCAAGCCUGAUCCAGCCAUACCGCGUGGGUGAAGAAGGCCUUCGGGUUGUAAAGCCCUUUUGUUGGGAAAGAAAAGCAGCAGGUUAAUACCCCGCUGUUCUGACGGUACCCAAGGAAUAAGCACCGGCUAACUUCGUG